AUGCCUGAGCCUCAGGCUUGGCUUGGCUGGUCUUCCUUCAGCCCCCUCAAGCCUGAAGGUGUGCUUUCUCUCCUGAGCUCCUCAGUCUGUCCAACCACCUUCCGAGCCCUUUCCCUUCGUCCCCAGCCCCCCGUGGGUUUCUUUGCUGUGGGGCAGAGCUGUGCCACCAGAUGCCCAUCCGCUGGGGCAGAGGCAGGAGGAUUUGGGAGGUUGGAUGCUGCUGGUCAGUCCCACGGCACGGCUGCCUCUCCCUGCCCCACUGCCCUUGGGGCAGAGCUGGGUGCUCCGUGCAGAGGUUUCAUCUUUGGGGCAGUCCCCCCCGUUGGGGAGAGCGGCGGCUGCAGUGCCCUCCCUGAGGGACCGAGCGUGGGGGUGGUCUCUGGGAGGGUGGUGCAGGCACAGGCGUCGUCCUUUCUGCCAAAACCUCUGCCUCCAUCUCACGUCCCACCCUCGGGGGGCAGGAGGCCGCCCUGCCGGGGGUCUCCACGCCGGUAUUUCUGUUCCUCUGCUUUUGGACACCUCUUGCUCCUCAAGCCUUGCGACACCCCCCUGCUCCAGCCCAGCACCCGCUGCGGUGGGAGGAGAGGGAGGAAGACUCGUGCCCUGGUCCAUCUUGGCAGGAUCCAGCUGCGGGCACCAGUUCGGGAGAGCAAAGGGGUUUGUGCUUCAAAAUGGGGUGUCCUGGGUCCCGAGGCCUUUUGCCCAAGAGCAUCCCUGUGCCCUGUGUCCCGGGGCAGCCGCGGAGCUCCCCGCAGCCGCGAGCCGGGGACACGGCGGUUCCCCCCUCUCCCGGUGCCACGUCUUCCCAAAUCACUUGAAACCCACCAGCUUUUGAGCAAACCUUGUAACGCGGGGCCUCUGGGGGAGGGAAGGAGCCGGGGGUGGGGGCCAUCGUGUGCCCCCCCUGCCAGUGGUGGUUCGUUUGCCAGGAGAGGAGAAAGAGGCACCCGGGGAAGCGGAGCAGGGACGACCCCAACCACGCGCUGGGACCUCGGGUCAGAAAUGACCCAUUUUUCUACGGAAGGUUCCAGCUCGUUGGGGGAACGGGAGCGUUACUGGGUUGCUCUUUCUAUAUAUUUUUGUAGGACGGGGUGGGGUGGGGGCGGNNNNNNNNNNGAGAUGCCUGCGGAAGUUGUUUAUUUUUAA
RNAcentral lists this long non-coding RNA (1146 nucleotides) under Calidris pugnax (ruff). RNAcentral's name for it is "lncRNA (ENSCPUG00000009365.1)". Lineage: Eukaryota; Metazoa; Chordata; Aves; Charadriiformes; Scolopacidae. The record is from RNAcentral.